CAACUCGCCUGCAUGAAGUCGGAAUUGCUAGUAAUCGUGGAUCAGCAUGCCACGGUGAAUACGUUCCCGGGCCUUGUACACACCGCCCGUCACACCAUGAGAGUUGGGGAUACCCGAAGCCUGUGAGCUAACAGUAAUGAAGCAGCAGUCGAAGGUAGAAUCAAUGAUUGGGGUGAAGUCGUAACAAGGUAAC
This 193-nucleotide ribosomal RNA is filed under the name uncultured bacterium. RNAcentral's name for it is "partial 16S ribosomal RNA". It matches the Rfam family "Bacterial small subunit ribosomal RNA", at positions 1308 to 1500 of the family's 1533-position model. The record is from RNAcentral.